CGGCCGCCACCCCUCCUGCUCAGCUGCCGUCGCCAUGGCCAAUGACAGCUGCGGGCCGGGUGAGCCGAGCUCGAGCGAGCGAGACCGGCAGUACUGCGAGCUGUGCGGGAAGAUGGAGAACCUGCUGCGCUGCAGCCGCAGCUCCUUCUGCUGCAAAGAGCGCCAGCGUCAGGACUGGAAGAAGCACAAGAUCGUGUGCCAGGGCAGCGAGGGCGCCCUCGGCCACGGAGGGGGCCCUCACCGGGACUCCGGCCCCGCGCCGCCGGCUGCAGCGCCGCCGUCCGCAGCGUCGCCGUCCAGGGACGGGGCCCAGGAGCCCAGGAAGGCAGCGAGGCGCCGGGACAGCGCCUCCGGGGACUCAGCCAAGGCAAAGGCCAAGCCCGCGGCCGACCCCGCGGCGGCCGCGUCCCUGUCUCUCGCGUCCCCGGGCGGGACAAAAGCCAUGGUUGCUUGUUAUCCGGUCAAUGGAACGGGCUAUGUACGUCAUGUUGAUAAUCCAAAUGGAGACGGAAGAUGUGUGAAAUGUAUUACAUUACGUUAAAGACUGGGAUGCCAAGGUAAGGGGAGGUAUACUUCGAAUUUUUCUAGAAGCUUAAAGCCUGGUUUGCUGACAUUGAACCCAAAUUUGAUAGACUGCUGUUUUUCUGGACUGACCAUCGCAACCCUCAUGAAGUACAACCAGCAUAUGCUACAAGAUACGCAAUAACUGGUAUUUGAUGCAGAUUAGAGAGCACGAGCUAAAGUAAAAUAUCUAACAGGUGAAAAGGUGUGAGGGUUGAACCCAAUAAACCUUCAGAUUCAGUCAGUAAAAACGUCUUAUACAGCCUUUGAUCCAGCAAUACCCCACUUCACCUACAAUAAUUGUUGACGCUAUUUGUUAAUUUGUGAAUACGAAUAAAUGGGAUAAAGAAAAAUAGACAACCAGUUCGCAUUUUAGAGGCAUGGAGGGAUCCAGAACCUGGACAGAAGAACCACCUAGAAAUAACUCAGC
Molecule: RNA transcript, 991 nt
Organism: Nomascus leucogenys (northern white-cheeked gibbon)
Lineage: Eukaryota; Metazoa; Chordata; Mammalia; Primates; Hylobatidae
Gene name: egl nine homolog 1 pseudogene
Exons: 2
Source: RefSeq, a predicted model, not a curated record